GACGAACGCUGGCGGCGUGCUUAACACAUGCAAGUCGAACGGAAAGGCCCUGCUUUUGUGGGGUGCUCGAGUGGCGAACGGGUGAGUAACACGUGAGUAACCUGCCCUUGACUUUGGGAUAACUUCAGGAAACUGGGGCUAAUACCGGAUAGGAGCUCCUGCUGCAGGGUGGGGGUUGGAAAGUUUCGGCGGUUGGGGAUGGACUCGCGGCUUAUCAGCUUGUUGGUGGGGUAGUGGCUUACCAAGGCUUUGACGGGUAGCCGGCCUGAGAGGGUGACCGGCCACAUUGGGACUGAGCUACGGCCCAGACUCCUACGGGAGGCAGCAGUGGGGAAUAUUGCACAAUGGGCGGAAGCCUGAUGCAGCAACGCCGCGUGCGGGAUGACGGCCUUCGGGUUGUAAACCGCUUUCGCCUGUGACGAAGCGUGAGUGACGGUAAUGGGUAAAGAAGCACCGGCUAACUACGUG
RNAcentral lists this ribosomal RNA (468 nucleotides) under uncultured bacterium. RNAcentral's name for it is "partial 16S ribosomal RNA". It matches the Rfam family "Bacterial small subunit ribosomal RNA", at positions 28 to 507 of the family's 1533-position model. The record is from RNAcentral.